GGUCAUCAGGCUGGGAGACUGACACACAGGAGAGAAGUAGAAACUGCAGGAGGGGUAGUGAAUCUGUCUCCCAGCCAGAGAUGUAGUUGGUUGGCCUGAGGGGAACUUACAAAGAUAGACUGUGCCAUUCCCAGCGAAGUUAUCACCAGCCCUGCGGGUCAACCCUACUGGAGAAACAGAAGAUGUCUAAACAAAACCAAGGACAUUGGCCGUCUGUUUCUUGAGGUUAUUCAGAAUGUUACUACUGGUGCACAUGGGCUGACACAGACCACUGAUGAUGAACUAUACCAAGAGAAGAAAAUACAGACUUCAGGUGGCAGAUCCUCCUCAGCACCGGAACGUGCAACUGCAGAAGGAACAAUUUUGAUAACAAGAAAUGGCCAUAGGCUCAGGAAGCCACUGGGGUUGGAGAAGUUCCAAAAAGCAUCUUAGCGAUCACUGUGACACUAUACAUUGUAAGAAAAGAAGCCCUUCAGUGGUAUUUGUGUGUGGCGAGAGUGAGUGUUCAUGGCCCUGCUGCUGACUGGCUGCUAUGAAGACAUAUUUUCCAAUACAGACAAUUCCCACUGGACAGAUGUGCAUCCUGGUCAUCCGUUUCCUCCAGUGCAGCUGUCUGCAUCUGUGCUCUGCACAUUUUGCAACGCAUCCAAGGCCAUGCACUCUUGACAAAGUGUGCAUCAGAUUGAUGAAUGAAAAAGCUGGUCAGAAAUCCCCACUCCAAGCCCCAAGGCAAAAACUGGGAGUUUGGGGUCCAAAACUUGUCAAUGGAAGCUCAACAUUUUCCAUAGGAAGUAGACAUGUUUUAUGAGAAAAAUCACUGUGUCAAAACCCAAUUUUCCAUAGGACAUCAACUUAGACAAAAGAUUUUUGACCAGUCCUAAUGCAUGUUCUAUCAAACUAUGAAACUGCUGUGUUUGUGUAUGUGUUCAAUACACACGUGUUUACACAUCAAAAUAUACAAGAGUUUUGUAUUCUCAUAGUAACAUCUUCAAAAGCUCCACAGUCCCUAUAAUGCAGCCCUCAAAACCUAUCAAAGGGAUUUGUACUCAUUGGUCACACCUGCAGGAGUGAAAAUUGAUGUUUCUGUGGCCUAGUCUACAGUGGAGUUGUUGCACUAGCGCAGUCCCCUCACAGAGACAUACUUCAUUAGUGUAAACAGGAGUGCAUUCAACUGGGGUAAGCCAUAUGGCCUCUAAUUAGUUUGCAUGCAUGCAGCCCCAUCUCCACUAGGGAUUUGCACUGGUUUAGCUGCAUUGGGCGCUAAAAUCCCUAGGGUAGACAAGUCCUAAAUUAAUCUGUUUUGGGAAUGUGAUGAGGCAAGGAAGUUUUUUGCAAAUCUAUGAAAAGUGAAGGAUGGAAGCUUUUAAGUGAAGCUCCUGUGAGCUGUGUGACUUUCUAGAAAAAUCCGACCUUGGGAUGGAUGAGCUGUGCUUGGAUCAGUCUGUUUCUGGUAAAGCUGUGGGUGGCAGGGCUAUCUGAAAACUGGGUGUAGAAUGAGAAGCUAGCUACUAGCACCCCUUUGUAUUAUUUACUUCACAAGGAUGGUGUGAGAAUGUUAGAUGAAAGAUGCUGUACAAGUGUGGACUAGUCUCAUUGUUAAUAGUUAUUAGUAAAAUCUGUAAAGA
Long non-coding RNA from Chelonia mydas (Green sea turtle), 1625 nucleotides. RefSeq lists it as uncharacterized. The record is from RefSeq and is a predicted model, not a curated record. The transcript is spliced from 4 exons. Lineage: Eukaryota; Metazoa; Chordata; Testudines; Cheloniidae.